This 125-nucleotide microRNA precursor is filed under the name Hordeum vulgare. RNAcentral's name for it is "microRNA MIR1122". It matches the Rfam family "MIR1120/MIR1122 microRNA precursor family". The record is from RNAcentral. Lineage: Eukaryota; Viridiplantae; Streptophyta; Magnoliopsida; Poales; Poaceae.
CAUAUACUUUCUUCAUCUGAAAAUACUUAUCAUAGAAAUGGAUGUAUCUAGAUGUAUUUUAAUUCUAGAUACAUCCAUUUUUAUACAUUUAUUCGACAAGUAAUUUCGAACAAAGGGAGUACCAA